GAUUAACGCUGGCGGCGUGCCUAACACAUGCAAGUCGAACGAUGAAACUCAUUAGAUUUCUUCGGAAUGAAAAUGAAUGGAUUAGUGGCGAACGGGUGAGUAACGCGUGAGUAACCUGCCUUACACAAGGGGAUAGCCUCUGGAAACGGAGAAUAAUACCCUAUGAAACCAGACAAUCGCAUGAUAAUCUGGUCAAAAUGUUUAGUGGUGUAAGAUGGACUUGCGUCUGAUUAGCUAGUUGGUGAGAUAAAAGCUCACCAAGGCAACGAUCAGUAGCCGGCUUGAGAGAGUGUACGGCCACAUUGGGACUGAGACACGGCCCAGACUCCGACGGGAGGCAGCAGUGGGGAAUUUUGCACAAUGGGGGAAACCCGGAUGCAGCGACGCCGCGUGAUUUAGAAGGCCUUCGGGUUGUAAAAAUCUUUUGUAUAGGAAGAAAAUGACAGUACUAUACGAAUAAGGGCCGGCUAAUUACGUG
This 478-nucleotide ribosomal RNA is filed under the name uncultured bacterium. Its description in RNAcentral is "partial 16S ribosomal RNA". It matches the Rfam family "Bacterial small subunit ribosomal RNA", at positions 28 to 507 of the family's 1533-position model. The record is from RNAcentral.